RNAcentral lists this ribosomal RNA (565 nucleotides) under uncultured bacterium. Its description in RNAcentral is "partial 16S ribosomal RNA". It matches the Rfam family "Bacterial small subunit ribosomal RNA", at positions 355 to 914 of the family's 1533-position model. The record is from RNAcentral.
UGGGGAAUUUUGGACAAUGGGCGAAAGCCUGAUCCAGCAAUGCCGCGUGUGUGAAGAAGGCCUUCGGGUUGUAAAGCACUUUUGUCCGGAAAGAAAUCCUUGGCUCUAAUACAGUCGGGGGAUGACGGUACCGGAAGAAUAAGCACCGGCUAACUACGUGCCAGCAGCCGCGGUAAUACGUAGGGUGCAAGCGUUAAUCGGAAUUACUGGGCGUAAAGCGUGCGCAGGCGGUUUGCUAAGACCGAUGUGAAAUCCCCGGGCUCAACCUGGGAACUGCAUUGGUGACUGGCAGGCUAGAGUAUGGCAGAGGGGGGUAGAAUUCCACGUGUAGCAGUGAAAUGCGUAGAGAUGUGGAGGAAUACCGAUGGCGAAGGCAGCCCCCUGGGCCAAUACUGACGCUCAUGCACGAAAGCGUGGGGAGCAAACAGGAUUAGAUACCCUGGUAGUCCACGCCCUAAACGAUGUCACUAGUUGUUGGGGAUUCAUUUCCUUAGUAACGUAGCUAACGCGUGAAGUUGACCGCCUGGGGAGUACGGUCGCAAGAUUAAAACUCAAAGGAAUUGAC